Molecule: ribosomal RNA, 492 nt
Filed under: uncultured bacterium
Lineage: Bacteria
Description: partial 16S ribosomal RNA
Rfam family: Bacterial small subunit ribosomal RNA
Source: RNAcentral
AUUGAACGCUGGCGGCAUGCUUUACACAUGCAAGUCGAACGGUAACAGGCCUUCGGGUGCUGACGAGUGGCGAACGGGUGAGUAAUGCAUCGGAACGUACCCAGAGGUGGGGGAUAACGCAGCGAAAGCUGUGCUAAUACCGCAUGUGAUCUGAGGAUGAAAGCGGGGGACCGAGCAGCAAUGUUUGGCCUCGCGCCUUUGGAGCGGCCGAUGUCGGAUUAGCUAGUUGGUGGGGUAAAGGCCUACCAAGGCGACGAUCCGUAGCUGGUCUGAGAGGACGACCAGCCACACUGGGACUGAGACACGGCCCAGACCCCUACGGGAGGCAGCAGUGGGGAAUUUUGGACAAUGGGCGCAAGCCUGAUCAAGCAAUGCCGCGUGCGGGAAGAAGGCCUUCGGGUUGUAAACCGCUUUUGGCAGGAACGAAACGGUGUCCGCUAAUACCGGGCGCUAAUGACGGUACCUGCAGAAUAAGCACCGGCUAACUACGUG